UAAACAUUCGCAGGACUCCUCUGCGGUAGC
Molecule: small RNA, 30 nt
Filed under: Bombyx mori (domestic silkworm)
Lineage: Eukaryota; Metazoa; Arthropoda; Insecta; Lepidoptera; Bombycidae
Description: ovarian small RNA-18125
Source: RNAcentral